This 128-nucleotide ribosomal RNA is filed under the name Carlito syrichta (Philippine tarsier). The record is from RNAcentral. Lineage: Eukaryota; Metazoa; Chordata; Mammalia; Primates; Tarsiidae.
GUCUACGGCCAUACCACCCUGAAUGCGCCUGAUCCCGUCUGAUCUCGGAAGCUAAGCCGGGUCAGGCCUGGUUAGUACUUGGAUAGGAGAAGCAUCAUUUGUACAGGGAAAUUCGCCAAUUAUAUACA